RNAcentral lists this non-coding RNA (30 nucleotides) under Mus musculus (house mouse). Lineage: Eukaryota; Metazoa; Chordata; Mammalia; Rodentia; Muridae. The record is from RNAcentral.
UCCAUUCACUCCUUCCUUCCCGACUAUUGG